This 497-nucleotide ribosomal RNA is filed under the name uncultured bacterium. Its description in RNAcentral is "partial 16S ribosomal RNA". It matches the Rfam family "Bacterial small subunit ribosomal RNA", at positions 28 to 507 of the family's 1533-position model. The record is from RNAcentral.
GAUGAACGCUGGCGGCGUGCCUAAUACAUGCCAGUCGAGCGAACAGACGAGGAGCUUGCUCCUCUGACGUUAGCGGCGGACGGGUGAGUAACACGUGGAUAACCUACCUAUAAGACUGGGAUAACUUCGGGAAACCGGAGCUAAUACCGGAUAAUAUAUUGAACCGCAUGGUUCAAUAGUGAAAGACGGUUUUGCUGUCACUUAUAGAUGGAUCCGCGCCGCAUUAGCUAGUUGGUAAGGUAACGGCUUACCAAGGCAACGAUGCGUAGCCGACCUGAGAGGGUGAUCGGCCACACUGGAACUGAGACACGGUCCAGACUCCUACGGGAGGCAGCAGUAGGGAAUCUUCCGAAAUGGGCGAAAGCCUGACGGAGCAACGCCGCGUGAGUGAUGAAGGUCUUCGGAUCGUAAAACUCUGUUAUUAGGGAAGAACAAAUGUGUAAGUAACUAUGCACGUCUUGACGGUACCUAAUCAGAAAGCCACGGCUAACUACGUG